RNAcentral lists this ribosomal RNA (492 nucleotides) under uncultured bacterium. RNAcentral describes it as "partial 16S ribosomal RNA". It matches the Rfam family "Bacterial small subunit ribosomal RNA", at positions 29 to 507 of the family's 1533-position model. The record is from RNAcentral.
AGUGAACGCUGGCGGUAGGCCUAACACAUGCAAAUCGAACGGCAGCACAGUAAGAGCUUGCUCUUACGGGUGGCGAGUGGCGGACGGGUGAGGAAUACAUCGGAAUCUACUUUUUCGUGGGGGAUAGCGUAGGGAAACUUACGCUAAUACCGCAUACGACCUACGGGUGAAAGCAGGGGAUCUUCGGACCUUGCGCGAUUGAAUGAGCCGAUGUCGGAUUAGCUAGUUGGCGGGGUAAAGGCCCACCAAGGCGACGAUCCGUAGCUGGUCUGAGAGGAUGAUCAGCCACACUGGAACUGAGACACGGUCCAGACUCCUACGGGAGGCAGCAGUGGGGAAUAUUGGACAAUGGGCGCAAGCCUGAUCCAGCCAUACCGCGUGGGUGAAGAAGGCCUUCGGGUUGUAAAGCCCUUUUGUUGGGAAAGAAAAGCAGCAGGUUAAUACCCCGCUGUUCUGACGGUACCCAAAGAAUAAGCACCGGCUAACUUCGUG